Molecule: transfer RNA, 72 nt
Filed under: Hordeum vulgare
Lineage: Eukaryota; Viridiplantae; Streptophyta; Magnoliopsida; Poales; Poaceae
Description: tRNA-OTHER
Source: RNAcentral
AGCCACGUAGCCCAGUGGUUGUGUGCGCUGGAUCGAUCCAGGGGCUCUUGGGAUCGAAUCCCAGCUUUGCCC